This 1953-nucleotide unclassified non-coding RNA is filed under the name Hevea brasiliensis (rubber tree). Lineage: Eukaryota; Viridiplantae; Streptophyta; Magnoliopsida; Malpighiales; Euphorbiaceae. The record is from RNAcentral.
GAUCCCUAAGGCUAUUUGAGGCAAAAUUUUAUAAAGAAAAGGACAAAUGGACUCAAAAACAUGAAUUCGAUUUCUAGGCAACAAACAACAUGAUUUCACAAUCCAUAUUCUAGAGAAUAAUAUAACCAACGAAAACUGUGAGGCCUGUAUCUAUUCAGCUGGGAUAUACACCAAACCUCAUAGGAAUUCCAGCCUCAAAUAUGCUGGCAAUGGCAUGCUUAUAUAUAUACGUAUAAAGUUCUAUUUCCAGCCAGCAUCUUGGCACAUCCUCAAGGCCAAUGAAUUUCAUCAGCUUACUUCCUUGAGAAAGAAAGAUUUGAUUGCAGAAGGAGAAUCAUUAUGUUAUGUUCGUUGCGAGGGAAAUGACCAAAGGCCAUAGGACAUUUCAUAACCACUUCCUCCAACUGGUUGUUCUUCUGUCACCAGAAAAUAACCUAGGAAGGCUUAGAAGGCUAUUAACCCUUGUAAUACCUUCUAAGGCUGACCACUCCUCAUCCUGUGCGGUUGAAAUGCACUCAGCCAGACUCCUCUUUGACCGACUCUGGCUCUUCAAAGAAAGCUUCUCCUCUGUCAACUCAGGGACGGGUACAAUCUCAUCAGAACCCCGUAUUGUAUCCGAAUGACUAAGAACAUACACAUGAGAAUCUUCAUGCCUUUCCAGUUCACUAUUGAUUUCAUUGGUUUUUAACACACACUCUGAUGAUUCCUUUGGAAUCAUUUUCACAUCCGACUCUUCCACUUCCCCAUUUGCUUCAGAAAAAUGAUCAAGAAACAGGCAUACAACAGCACAAUCAUCAUUCUUGGAAGUAGGAUACUUAAGCUUCCAUGCUCGGACAGCACAGUCUACAAGUGCUCUGGCUGCUGUAGCCCGUCCAGGGGCUGAGGCCACAAUGUCAACAGCUUCCUUAUUUGAAAGGACAUCCCAAACCCCAUCAGUAGCAAGAAUGAUGAAUUCAUCUCUUUUGUUAAGCUGACGAUAAUAAACAUCUGGUAUAGAAAUUAAACCAAAAUCCUUCAGACAGAAGUCCCCAAAAGCUCUAGCCAUUGCUAGACCAGGAGAGUCAUUAUUAGGCAACCAUACACGUGCAACCUCUGGCUCAUCCUUCAAUGCAAAAACUCUUCCUUUACAUUGCUGGAUCCUGGCGGUUUCCCUUGGCAGAUCAGGUUUCAAGUCCACAGUCAAUUGUAUAGCAAGCAAAGAAUUGUCUUCAUCUCUAGUUGCCAGAACUGCUCUGGAGUCACCAAGAUUUCCGACUACAAGAUCCUGGCCCUGCUUUAUCAAAGUCACAGCAGUUGUUCCGCUGCAGAAACAAUCAAUUGUUGGAUGCAAUUUUAGAUCCUUAUCCAUCAACUUAAAUGCCUUCAGCAUAGACUUUUUCAGCGGUAGAUACAUCUCCGGGAGUUUUUCAUUUUGCUCAAACUCCAAAGAAUUAUGUGACUCAUCAUCCAUGCUUGCUGCAGAUGCAGUUUCCUCAGAAUUUGUGCUUCCAGGAGUGUUUCUAGCCUUAUGAGGGCUGCUCUGCUCAUCAUUUGAACCAUCUUUCCACUGAGUACACAGCAUCAGCGGAAGCGAAUCCCGAACUUCCUUGGAAACCAUAUGANNNNNNNNNNACCAUGACCAUCAAAUACCCCACAAAAAAUUGUAUCACUUCUUGAGAUGAAAUUCUCCCAAACAAGCAUGGCGUCUUGAUUGGUGCCUUUCUUGCCCUGUUGAGUGUACAAGCAGGCAAUCUUGGAUGCACCAUUCAUGCACAUCCUGCCAGGAAUUUGAUUGAGCACACUUUCAUCACCACCAUCAUCUCCAACUGAUUUCUUCUUCCACCUGUGCCUCUUAGGAGAAGCUCCUGAAGCAGCAGUAGUUUGCUCCACUGCACCAUUCUCAUCCAUCCCCCUCUUCCCCAUAGACGAGUAACAAGAUCCCAUUUAACACCACCACCUGCCCUUCCUUCCCAA